RNAcentral lists this ribosomal RNA (442 nucleotides) under uncultured bacterium. Its description in RNAcentral is "partial 16S ribosomal RNA". It matches the Rfam family "Bacterial small subunit ribosomal RNA", at positions 338 to 795 of the family's 1533-position model. The record is from RNAcentral.
CCUACGGGCGGCAGCAGUGGGGAAUAUUGGGCAAUGGGCGCAAGCCUGACCCAGCAAUGCCGCGUGAAGGAAGAAGGCUUUCGGGUUGUAAACUUCUUUGACAGGGGAAGAGCAGAAGACGGUACCCUGAAAACAAGCCACGGCUAACUACGUGCCAGCAGCCGCGGUAAUACGUAGGUGGCAAGCGUUGUCCGGAUUUACUGGGUGUAAAGGGCGUGUAGCCGGGAAGGCAAGUCAGAUGUGAAAUCUGGAGGCUCAACCUCCAAAUUGCAUUUGAAACUGUUUGUCUUGAGUACUGGAGAGGCGGACGGAAUUCCUUGUGUAGCGGUGAAAUGCGUAGAUAUAAGGAGGAACACCAGUGGCGAAGGCGGUCUGCUGGACAGCAACUGACGGUGAGGCGCGAAAGCGUGGGGAGCAAACAGGAUUAGAUACCCCAGUAGUC